Long non-coding RNA from Poecilia latipinna (sailfin molly), 1424 nucleotides. RefSeq lists it as uncharacterized. The transcript is spliced from 3 exons. The record is from RefSeq and is a predicted model, not a curated record. NCBI's taxonomy places the organism in Eukaryota, Metazoa, Chordata, Actinopteri, Cyprinodontiformes, Poeciliidae.
UGUUUUCCUCUCAUGACCGGCUAACUAACCCAAAUUAUUUCGGGUCAUUUUUGACCCCGAUGGAGCGGAGUCAGCGUUCAGCCUCUAAUUUCCUCCUGGCAGCGAGUCUUCAAACAUGUCACGGAAACAUGAUGAAACCGCGACUUUCAGAGAAAUUAAAUCAUCAGACGGUUGGUUAGCUGCUGCACAGGCCGGAGGCAGCGCUGGAGCUGCUGGUCAUCGAUCGCACAGGGUGUGUGUGUGUGUGUGGAGGCAAUUACUCUGAUUUGCAGAGUCACACGGAAUGCUGUGAGGAAUGCGGAGCGGCCCGAUGUGAUUGGUCCAGGUGAGCCAGCCUGAUUACUUCCUGUUUGACCGCCUGCUGCGGCUGAACGGCACGAACCAAAGUCAGACUCGAUAAAAAGUUCACUGCAGUACGGAGGAAGUGAUCAGAUUAUCAGUCACUUAAUGACCAAAAUAUAAAGUCAUGAAGAAGGAGAAGAAAGUACCAAAAAAUAAAAUCAGGCAAAAUCAAAUGUUUCCAAUCUUUGAGUAAAAACCUUGAACAGAAGCUGCAGAACCCGACUGACGACAUGAAGAACAGGUCCGCCUCCGAGGUUCUGAUUGGACCGGAACAACAUCAGUAGCGCUGCAGGCCUGCCCGAAUCAGUAAAGGUCAGAGGUCAUGGUUCAAUGGUAAAGAAGAGAGAAAAAUGGUCUCCAAGACCAGAGCUACAAUCCAACGCUCUCCACCAAGUCCGAGCGGCCUAGUCAAAGCCCAAACUUAAAUCCAGUUGACACCAACAUGUUGUUCCAACAAGGCUCAAUUUACUCAGCAGAGCGGGUCAAAGGUCAUCCACAGUGACCUUAAAGCAAGUCGACUGCGAAUCAUAAAUGUUUCUAGAAAUGAACAAAUUAAACAUUUAUAUGAACAUACAAAAUGCGAGUUUAUCGUGUUUUAUUGUGUUUUUAUCAAAUCCUGCACUUUGGUUUUGUUUCUGUCACUUCCUGGACGAUUUCGACUUGGCUGUGAUUGGCUCCUUUCACCCAGUAAACACUCUGAUUGGAUGAAACGGAUUUGCUGCGUUUCUUUGACUGUGACAGAUACAGAAACAUUUCGUGGCUUUUUGUCCUUGUUGGUGUUCCGUAGUAAGCUGCUGCUCAGCGUCACCAAUUAUUGUUUGCUUACAUAAAUAUAUGCGCUCACAUCGGUUUGACUCAGACAAAGCCACAGACGGGCAACAGUUAAUAAAAAUGAAGGAUGUUAAAUAGUUUUAUCACCAGCUGCUGGUCUGCAGGUGGGAUAACAUUUCCACGCAGAACCAGUUUAGGAGGAGUUAAAGUUAAAGAGUCCCGAAGGAUGACGAGAAAAGUUUUCAUGAAACUCAAACUGCAGGAAAAUAUAAAUGAUAUUUGUGGCUGAAGCUCCGGGCGGAGCGCCGCGG